Molecule: non-coding RNA, 21 nt
Filed under: Caenorhabditis elegans
Lineage: Eukaryota; Metazoa; Nematoda; Chromadorea; Rhabditida; Rhabditidae
Source: RNAcentral
UGUAAAUACAUUUCAAUUUCA